This 460-nucleotide ribosomal RNA is filed under the name uncultured bacterium. RNAcentral describes it as "partial 16S ribosomal RNA". It matches the Rfam family "Bacterial small subunit ribosomal RNA", at positions 338 to 795 of the family's 1533-position model. The record is from RNAcentral.
CCUACGGGAGGCAGCAGUGAGGAAUAUUGGUCAAUGGACGAGAGUCUGAACCAGCCAAGUAGCGUGAAGGAUGACUGCCCUAUGGGUUGUAAACUUCUUUUAUAUGGGAAUAAAAUGUUCCACGUGUGGGAUUUUGUAUGUACCAUAUGAAUAAGGAUCGGCUAACUCCGUGCCAGCAGCCGCGGUAAUACGGAGGAUCCGAGCGUUAUCCGGAUUUAUUGGGUUUAAAGGGAGCGUAGGUGGAUUGUUAAGUCAGUUGUGAAAGUUUGUGGCUCAACCGUAAAAUUGCAGUUGAAACUGGCAGUCUUGAGUACAGUAGAGGUGGGCGGAAUUCGUGGUGUAGCGGUGAAAUGCUUAGAUAUCACGAAGAACUCAGAUUGCGAAGGCAGUUCACUGGACUGCAACUGACACUGAGGCUCGAAAGUGUGGGUAUCAAACAGGAUUAGAUACCCUAGUAGUC